Molecule: transfer RNA, 66 nt
Filed under: Dictyoptera speciosa
Lineage: Eukaryota; Metazoa; Arthropoda; Insecta; Coleoptera; Lycidae
Description: tRNA-Phe
Source: RNAcentral
AUAUUCUAAAAUAUAUUUAUUUCCUUAAUAUCUUCAAUAUUAUGCUCUUUAUAAGCUAUUAAAAUA